This 567-nucleotide long non-coding RNA is filed under the name Lonchura striata (white-rumped munia). RNAcentral's name for it is "domestica (Bengalese finch) lncRNA (ENSLSDG00000015087.1)". The record is from RNAcentral. Lineage: Eukaryota; Metazoa; Chordata; Aves; Passeriformes; Estrildidae.
CGCCAGCGCUGUCCUGCUCCUUGGGGCUGUCCCCACCCCAGGGUCUGCCCGGUCCCGGCAGCUCCCUGGAACAGCCUUAAAAUGUAGGGAAAUGUUAACGGGGGCGGGAUUGAAGCUGGUCAGAUUUUAUGCCUCAUUAUAAUAUAAAGGUUUUAGGUGCCAUUUUUGGGGUGACAUUUUUUGGCUGUAGUUCUUGUGGGUGUCAUUUUUAGGUGCCAUUUUUGGGGGUGUCAUUUUUUGGGUGUCAUUUUUUAGGUGUAGUUUCUUUGGGUGUCAUUUUUUAGUUGUAGUUUUUGUAGGUGCCAUUUUUCAGGAGCCAUUUUUGGGUGUAGUUUUUUUGGGUAUCAUUUUUUGGGUGUCAUUUUUCGGUGUCAUUUUUAGGUGUCAUUUUUUUAGUGUUAUUUUUUGGGUGUCAUUUUUAGGUGCCAUUUUUGGGGGGUGUCAUUUUUUAGCUGUAGGUUUUUUGGGUGUCAUUUUUAGGUGCCGUUUUUGGGGAUGUCAUUUUUUGGGUGUCAUUUUUUAGGUGUAGGUUUUUUGGGUGUCAUUUUUAGGUGCCAUUUUUGGGUG